Molecule: ribosomal RNA, 492 nt
Filed under: uncultured bacterium
Lineage: Bacteria
Description: bacterial LSU rRNA
Rfam family: Bacterial large subunit ribosomal RNA
Source: RNAcentral
CACGGUGGAUGCCUAGGCGAUCAGAGGCGAAGAAGGACGUGGACAGCUGCGAAAAGCUCCGGGGAACCGCUACCAGGUUUUGAUCCGGAGAUCUCCGAAUGGGGCAACCCGCGCAGGGACUACCUGCCAACCCAUGGUGAAUACAUAGCCAUGCGGUAGCCAAGCCAGGGAACUGAAACAUCUAAGUACCUGGACGAAAGAAAAUCAAACGAGACUCCCCUAGUAGUGGCGAGCGAACGGGGACCAGCCUAAACCCGAUGAGGUAAAACUCAUCGGGGGUCGUGGGGCUCGCGAUGUGGAGACUGGAAGCUAGAAGAACGGUCUGGGAUGGCCGGCCAUAGAGGGUGACAGCCCCGUAGUCGAAAGCAGAAGGGAUCCUAGUGAGUACCCGAGUACCGCAGGACACGAGUAAUCCGGGCGGGGAAUCUGGGGGGACCAUCCUCCAAGGCUAAGUACUACUGAUCGACCGAUAGUGAACUAGUACCGCGAGGG